Molecule: ribosomal RNA, 429 nt
Filed under: Bacillota bacterium
Lineage: Bacteria; Bacillati; Bacillota
Description: Firmicutes bacterium partial 16S ribosomal RNA
Rfam family: Bacterial small subunit ribosomal RNA
Source: RNAcentral
UGGGGAAUAUUGGACAAUGGGCGCAAGCCUGAUCCAGCCAUACCGCGUGGGUGAAGAAGGCCUUCGGGUUGUAAAGCCCUUUUGUUGGGAAAGAAAAGCAGUCGGUUAAUACCCGAUUGUUCUGACGGUACCCAAAGAAUAAGCACCGGCUAACUUCGUGCCAGCAGCCGCGGUAAUACGAAGGGUGCAAGCGUUACUCGGAAUUACUGGGCGUAAAGCGUGCGUAGGUGGUUGUUUAAGUCUGUCGUGAAAGCCCUGGGCUCAACCUGGGAAUUGCGAUGGAAACUGGGCGACUAGAGUGUGGCAGAGGAUAGUGGAAUUCCUGGUGUAGCAGUGAAAUGCGUAGAGAUCAGGAGGAACAUCCGUGGCGAAGGCGACUGUCUGGGCCAACACUGACACUGAGGCACGAAAGCGUGGGGAGCAAACAGG